GAUGAACGCUAGCGGCAGGCCUAAUACAUGCAAGUCGAGGGGUAGUGGAAGCUUGCUUCCAUGAGACCGGCGCACGGGUGCGUAACGCGUAUGCAACCUACCUCUAUCUGGGGGAUAGCCCGGAGAAAUCCGGAUUAACACCGCAUAAAAUCACAGUACGGCAUCGUACAAUGAUCAAAUAUUUAUAGGAUAGGGAUGGGCAUGCGUGUCAUUAGUUAGUUGGCGGGUAACGGCCCACCAAGACCACGAUGACUAGGGGAUCUGAGAGGAUGGCCCCCCACACUGGUACUGAGACACGGACCAGACUCCUACGGGAGGCAGCAGUAAGGAAUAUUGGUCAAUGGAGGCAACUCUGAACCAGCCAUGCCGCGUGCAGGAAGACGGCCCUCUGGGUUGUAAACUGCUUUUAUUCGGGAAUAAACCUGCUUACGUGUAAAGUAGCUGAAUGUACCGAAGGAAUAAGGAUCGGCUAACUCCGUGCCAGCAGCC
This 489-nucleotide ribosomal RNA is filed under the name uncultured bacterium. RNAcentral describes it as "bacterial SSU rRNA". It matches the Rfam family "Bacterial small subunit ribosomal RNA", at positions 28 to 516 of the family's 1533-position model. The record is from RNAcentral.